AUUGAACGCUGGCGGCAGGCCUAACACAUGCAAGUCGAGCGGAUGAAAGGAGCUUGCUCCUGGAUUCAGCGGCGGACGGGUGAGUAAUGCCUAGGAAUCUGCCUGGUAUUGGGGGAUAACGUCCGGAAACGGGCGCUAAUACCGCAUACGUCCUGAGGGAGAAAGUGGGGGAUCUUCGGACCUCACGCUAUCAGAUGAGCCUAGGUCGGAUUAGCUAGUUGGUGGGGUAAAGGCCUACCAAGGCGACGAUCCGUAACUGGUCUGAGAGGAUGAUCAGUCACACUGGAACUGAGACACGGUCCAGACUCCUACGGGAGGCAGCAGUGGGGAAUAUUGGGCAAUGGGCGAAAGCCUGAUCCAGCCAUGCCGCGUGUGUGAAGAAGGUCUUCGGAUUGUAAAGCACUUUAAGUUGGGAGGAAGGGCAGUAAGUUAAUACCUUGCUGUUUUGACGUUACCAACAGAAUAAGCACCGGCUAACUUCGUG
RNAcentral lists this ribosomal RNA (484 nucleotides) under uncultured bacterium. Its description in RNAcentral is "partial 16S ribosomal RNA". It matches the Rfam family "Bacterial small subunit ribosomal RNA", at positions 30 to 507 of the family's 1533-position model. The record is from RNAcentral.